This is a long non-coding RNA of Maylandia zebra (zebra mbuna), 988 nucleotides long. RefSeq lists it as uncharacterized. The record is from RefSeq and is a predicted model, not a curated record. NCBI's taxonomy places the organism in Eukaryota, Metazoa, Chordata, Actinopteri, Cichliformes, Cichlidae.
GGCCUGGAGUUGGACACCCCUGCUGUAAUCCAAUGAAGUGUCAUUCGAUUGGAGUGCCUGCUGCUCCCAUAAUUGGAAAUUGCCUCAAAGCACUGAUGUGGACUGAUGCACAUAUCGACGGCAUGUAAUUGGCUCCCUGUGAGGCUGGACAAGACCGACGCUAUUACAACAGCCAUUUUUAACCAAACAAAAAGAAAAGAGGGAGCACAAGAGUCCAAAUAUAAGUAGCUCUGGAUGUCUGCUCGGCCGUAGGGCAAGACCUGGAGCAGCAGAGGCAAAGCAACUCAGGAGGUCGACGGCACAGGAGACAGCUGAGGAGAUGGGACCCCUCUGGAGGCUGGCGAUGAAGGAGGCACUUUGGCAGCUGGUGUUGGGGAAGCCUCUGGAGGCUUGAGAGGAGGCCGACAUAGGCGGCGCAUAAUACACCUUAGUCUACCUUUUACAUCAUCGUCCUAAAACUUGUGCCAUUCCUUCAUUAGUUAACGUUCCACUUCAAAUGAAACGCAACAUAGUGAUUGGUUGAUUGUGUACAGACAUGCCAACCAGGGAGCUAGUGGAAGCUACACAUCUGGGAAGGAUGCACAGACAUACAAACAGGACAGACAUCAGGAAAGGCAGAGAGGUGAAACAGACUGAGAGAAGAACCAUAAAACUCGUCUGUUGUCAUUACAAAGAAAUGCAACUCAAAGAAAAGCACAGCACAGUUUUCCGUGGCUCAUCUUACUUUGGUGUGGUUUGGGAGGCAGUGUGUAAUGUAAGAAGGCUGUGCAGCUGACAGUGACUCACACCUCCCAAUCUGAUUAAAUUAAUACUUUAAUGAUGUGAUCUUUUAACAACUUGCAGCACAGAAAUCUGAAAAUGUUACCCUCAUUCUCUUCUGUGUUUAUGUUCUAUAAAACCGUCCACUGGACCAGACUGGACCAUGUGGUCAUAUGUGUGAUGCUCCAGCUGUGGAUUUCUAAUUGUGCUUGUGAGAAAUAAAUACUGA